GAGCCGGAAAGUGAGGCGUCCUCUGUCAU
RNAcentral lists this small RNA (29 nucleotides) under Bombyx mori (domestic silkworm). RNAcentral describes it as "ovarian small RNA-15794". The record is from RNAcentral. Lineage: Eukaryota; Metazoa; Arthropoda; Insecta; Lepidoptera; Bombycidae.